RNAcentral lists this ribosomal RNA (253 nucleotides) under uncultured bacterium. RNAcentral describes it as "partial 16S ribosomal RNA". It matches the Rfam family "Bacterial small subunit ribosomal RNA", at positions 524 to 776 of the family's 1533-position model. The record is from RNAcentral.
UACGUAGGGUGCAAGCGUUGUCCGGAAUUAUUGGGCGUAAAGAGCUCGUAGGCGGUUCGUCGCGUCGGCUGUGAAAUCCCGAGGCUCAACCUCGGGUCUGCAGUCGAUACGGGCGGACUGGAGUACUGCAGGGGAGACUGGAAUUCCUGGUGUAGCGGUGAAAUGCGCAGAUAUCAGGAGGAACACCGGUGGCGAAGGCGGGUCUCUGGGCAACAACUGACGCUGAGGAGCGAAAGCGUGGGGAGCAAACAGG